UGCAGUCGAGCGNAUGAUGAAGAAGCUUGCUUCUUCUGAUUUUAGCGNNNNNNNGGUGAGUAACACGUGGGCAACCUACCUUGUAGAUUGNNAUAACUCCGGGAAACCGGGGCUAAUACCGAAUAAUCCAUUUUGCUUCAUGGCGAAAUGUUAAAAGGCGGCUUUGGCUGUCACUGCAAGAUGGGCCCGCGGCGCAUUAGCUAGUUGGUAAGGUAACGGCUUACCAAGGCGACGAUGCGUAGCCGACCUGAGAGGGUGAUCGGCCACACUGGGACUGAGACACGGCCCAGACUCCUACGGGAGGCAGCAGUAGGGAAUCUUCCACAAUGNACGAAAGUCUGAUGGAGCAACGCCGCGUGAGUGAAGAAGGUUUUCGGAUCGNAAAACUCUGUUGUAAGGGAAGAACACGUACGAGAGUAACUGCUCGUACCUUGACGGUACCUUAUUAGAAAGCCACGGCUAACUACGUGCCAGCAGCCGCGNNAAUACGUAGGUGGCAAGCGUUGUCCGNAAUUAUUGNGCGUANAGCGCGCGCAGGCGGUCCUUUAAGUCUGAUGNGAAAGCCCACGGNUCANCCGUGNNNGGUCAUUGNAACUGGGGGNCUUGAGUNCAGAAGAGNANAGCGNAAUUCCAAGUGUANCGAUGAANUGCGUA
This 654-nucleotide ribosomal RNA is filed under the name uncultured bacterium. RNAcentral describes it as "partial 16S ribosomal RNA". It matches the Rfam family "Bacterial small subunit ribosomal RNA", at positions 56 to 692 of the family's 1533-position model. The record is from RNAcentral.